This 76-nucleotide transfer RNA is filed under the name Chitinophagaceae bacterium. Its description in RNAcentral is "tRNA-Lys". It matches the Rfam family "tRNA". Rfam says of the family: Transfer RNA (tRNA) molecules are approximately 80 nucleotides in length. Their secondary structure includes four short double-helical elements and three loops (D, anti-codon, and T loops). Further hydrogen bonds mediate the characteristic L-shaped molecular structure. tRNAs have two regions of fundamental functional importance: the anti-codon, which is responsible for specific mRNA codon recognition, and the 3' end, to which the tRNAs corresponding amino acid is attached (by aminoacyl-tRNA synthetases). tRNAs cope with the degeneracy of the genetic code in two manners: having more than one tRNA (with a specific anti-codon) for a particular amino acid; and 'wobble' base-pairing, i.e. permitting non-standard base-pairing at the 3rd anti-codon position. The record is from RNAcentral. Lineage: Bacteria; Pseudomonadati; Bacteroidota; Chitinophagia; Chitinophagales; Chitinophagaceae. RNAcentral also lists the same sequence under 2 other names.
GAAUUGGUAGCUCAGUUGGUAGAGCAAUACACUUUUAAUGUAUGGGCCCUGGGUUCGAGUCCCAGCCAGUUCACAA